AGUGAACGCUGGCGGUAGGCCUAACACAUGCAAGUCGAACGGCAGCACAGUAAGAGCUUGCUCUUACGGGUGGCGAGUGGCGGACGGGUGAGGAAUACAUCGGAAUCUACUUUUUCGUGGGGGAUAACGUAGGGAAACUUACGCUAAUACCGCAUACGACCUACGGGUGAAAGCAGGGGAUCUUCGGACCUUGCGCGAUUGAAUGAGCCGAUGUCGGAUUAGCUAGUUGGCGGGGUAAGGGCCCACCAAGGCGACGAUCCGUAGCUGGUCUGAGAGGAUGAUCAGCCACGCUGGAACUGAGACACGGUCAAGACUCCUACGGGCGGCAGAAGUGGGGAAUAUUGGACAAUGGGCGCAAGCCUGAUCCAGCCAUACCGCGUGGGUGAAGAAGGCCUUCGGGUUGUAAAGCCCUUUUGUUGGGAAAGAAAAGCAGCAGGUUAAUACCCCGCUGUUCUGACGGUACCCAAAGAAUAAGCACCGGCUAACUUCGUG
RNAcentral lists this ribosomal RNA (492 nucleotides) under uncultured bacterium. RNAcentral's name for it is "partial 16S ribosomal RNA". It matches the Rfam family "Bacterial small subunit ribosomal RNA", at positions 29 to 507 of the family's 1533-position model. The record is from RNAcentral.